This is a non-coding RNA of Brassica napus (rape), 94 nucleotides long. Lineage: Eukaryota; Viridiplantae; Streptophyta; Magnoliopsida; Brassicales; Brassicaceae. The record is from Rfam.
GAAUGGAAUGAUGAAUGUUGAACUUUAUUGUUCCCUAUUGGUUUGAUCGCCGGAAUGAUGGCAUCUUACGUAUUAGCUCUAUCUGAUCCCAUUC